GAUGAAGAACGUAGCGAAAUGCGAUAAGUAAUGCGAAUUGCAGAAUUCAGUGAAUCAUCGAAUCUUUGAACGCACAUAGCGCUCUCUGGUAUUCCGGAGAGCACGCCUGUUCGAGCGCCAUUUCACCCCCCAAGCAGUGCUUGAUGUUGGAGGCCGCGGAGAGAUCCGCGCCUCUGAAACUUGUGAGGCGCCGUCCGUCGAGCACCAGCGUGGCAAGCAAACUUCGCUGGGAUGUGUUCGGAUGGGUGGCAGCCGCGACGUACCAAUUUUUUGGGAUUUUCCCGAAAAUCAGGUUGGCCUCGGAUCAGGUGGGGAUACCCGCUGAACUUAAGCAUAUCAAUAAGCGGAGGA
Molecule: unclassified non-coding RNA, 351 nt
Filed under: soil metagenome
Description: partial contains 5.8S ribosomal RNA, internal transcribed spacer 2, and large subunit ribosomal RNA
Rfam family: 5.8S ribosomal RNA (bases 1-120)
Source: RNAcentral